ACACUCCACGGGAGGCAGCAGUGGGGAAUAUUGCACAAUGGGCGCAAGCCUGAUGCAGCCAUGCCGCGUGUAUGAAGAAGGCCUUCGGGUUGUAAAGUACUUUCAGCGGGGAGGAAGGCGAUAAGGUUAAUAACCUUGUCGAUUGACGUUACCCGCAGAAGAAGCACCGGCUAACUCCGUGCCAGCAGCCGCGGUAAUACGGAGGGUGCAAGCGUUAAUCGGAAUUACUGGGCGUAAAGCGCACGCAGGCGGUCUGUCAAGUCGGAUGUGAAAUCCCCAGGCUCAACCUGGGAACUGCAUUCGAAACUGGCAGGCUAGAGUCUUGUAGAGGGGGGUAGAAUUCCAGGUGUAGCGGUGAAAUGCGUAGAGAUCUGGAGGAAUACCGGUGGCGAAGGCGGCCCCCUGGACAAAGACUGACGCUCAGGUGCGAAAGCGUGGGGAGCAAACAGGAUUAGAUACCCCUGUAGGCACAUGAU
This 476-nucleotide ribosomal RNA is filed under the name uncultured organism. RNAcentral's name for it is "partial 16S ribosomal RNA". It matches the Rfam family "Bacterial small subunit ribosomal RNA", at positions 333 to 801 of the family's 1533-position model. The record is from RNAcentral.